RNAcentral lists this ribosomal RNA (460 nucleotides) under uncultured bacterium. RNAcentral describes it as "partial 16S ribosomal RNA". It matches the Rfam family "Bacterial small subunit ribosomal RNA", at positions 338 to 795 of the family's 1533-position model. The record is from RNAcentral.
CCUACGGGCGGCAGUAGUGAGGAAUAUUGGUCAAUGGGCGCGAGCCUGAACCAGCCAAGUAGCGUGAAGGAUGACUGCCCUACGGGUUGUAAACUUCUUUUAUAAGGGAAUAAAGUUAGGAACGUGUGCCUUUUUGUAUGUACUUUAUGAAUAAGGAUCGGCUAACUCCGUGCCAGCAGCCGCGGUAAUACGGAGGAUCCGAGCGUUAUCCGGAUUUAUUGGGUUUAAAGGGAGCGUAGAUGGGUUGUUAAGUCAGUUGUGAAAGUUUGCGGAUCAACCGUAAACUUUCAAUUGAUACUGGCAGCCUUGAGUACAGUUGAGGUAGGCGGAAUUCGUGGUGUAGCGGUGAAAUGCUUAGAUAUCACGAAGAACUCCGAUUGCGAAGGCAGCUUACUAAACUGCCACUGACAUUGAUGCUCGAAAGUGUGGGUAUCAAACAGGAUUAGAUACCCCAGUAGUC